This is a non-coding RNA of Podarcis muralis (Common wall lizard), 404 nucleotides long. The record is from RefSeq and is a predicted model, not a curated record. Lineage: Eukaryota; Metazoa; Chordata; Lepidosauria; Squamata; Lacertidae.
GAGGGGGGGGGGGAGAGAGAGAGAGAGAGAGAGAGAGAGAGAGAGAGAAGAUUGAUUGCAUCUUGGCCCUGCCGUUAAAUGAGCCAUUAUCAGGAGAAGCUGCAAUAAUGCAUACAGUCACUUGAAAAGAAAAGCUGCUUUCCUUGGCGAAUACACCUAUUAUUUCAGCGGCACUCCAAGAGUGUUUCAAUAGUGUCCAGUUCAUGCAAUGGAUCAGAUUUUAAGUCUCCGCCUUCACAAUUUCAUAGGAACGUUAUGCAAGUUGCAACAACUCUUUACAACUAUUACAUCGUUACUGUGUUACACCAGCAUGUCUGGAGGAAACAAUCUUAACCACAGCUAUUCUUGUAUGGUGACAAGGCUAAGGUGUGAAGGAAUCUGACUGCGCCUGUCUCUCAGAUGCC